AUUGAACGCUGGCGGCAUGCCUUACACAUGCAAGUCGAACGGCAGCGCGGACUUCGGUCUGGCGGCGAGUGGCGAACGGUGAGUAAUACAUCGGAACGUACCCUGUUGUGGGGGAUAACUAGUCGAAAGAUUAGCUAAUUCCGCAUACGACCUGAGGGUGAAAGUGGGGGACCGCAAGGCCUCACGCAGCAGGAGCGGCCGAUGUCUGAUUAGCUAGUUGGUGGGGUAAAGGCCCACCAAGGCGACGAUCAGUAGCUGGUCUGAGAGGACGAUCAGCCCCACUGGGACUGGGACACGGCCCAGACUCCUACGGGAGGCAGCAGUGGGGAAUUUUGGACAAUGGGGGCAACCCUGAUCCAGCAAUGCCGCGUGUGUGAAGAAGGCCUUCGGGUUGUAAAGCACUUUUGUCCGGAAAGAAAUCGCGCUGGUUAAUACCUGGCGUGGAUGACGGUACCGGAAGAAUAAGCACCGGCUAACUACGUGCCAGCCGCCGCCGUAA
RNAcentral lists this ribosomal RNA (499 nucleotides) under uncultured bacterium. RNAcentral's name for it is "partial 16S ribosomal RNA". It matches the Rfam family "Bacterial small subunit ribosomal RNA", at positions 30 to 523 of the family's 1533-position model. The record is from RNAcentral.